Molecule: ribosomal RNA, 119 nt
Filed under: Mastacembelus armatus (zig-zag eel)
Lineage: Eukaryota; Metazoa; Chordata; Actinopteri; Synbranchiformes; Mastacembelidae
Source: RNAcentral
UUGAGUGGCCGCACCUGAGUGAGAGUGCCCGAUAGUGUCCGAUCUCUGAAGCUAAGCAGGGCCAUGCCUGGUUAGUACUUAGAUAGGAGACCAUCUUGGAAGUCCAGGGGCCGCUAGCC